GCGCUCGUAGUUUAUCGGCAGAAUUCGAGAUUCCCAAUCUCGUGGGCCGGGUUCAAUUCCCGGCUGGCGCA
This 71-nucleotide transfer RNA is filed under the name Candidatus Pacearchaeota archaeon. Its description in RNAcentral is "tRNA-Gly". It matches the Rfam family "tRNA". From Rfam's summary of the family: Transfer RNA (tRNA) molecules are approximately 80 nucleotides in length. Their secondary structure includes four short double-helical elements and three loops (D, anti-codon, and T loops). Lineage: Archaea; Nanobdellati. The record is from RNAcentral.